GGGGACCUGGCGGACGCUCGCGGCGUCGGUGGCGGUGGCGCGCGGCGGCCGCUGAGACCGGGGCUUUGAGUCGCACCCCGCGGCCCGCCCCCCGCCGCCACCCUCGCAGAUCCGUGCUUUUUUCCCUUUGCUUCUCUCCCGUACUGGGUCAGUCCUGUCCGCGCUCGCGCGUCGGUUUGCGGGUGUGCGCAGGCGCGGCAGGGGCCAUUAGCCCCUUGGGUGGGCGGUGGAGCCCGGGAGCGCGCGGGCGAGACCAUGGCGGGUAGCAGCACUGGGGGCGGUGGGGUUGGGGAGACGAAGGUGAUUUACCACCUGGAUGAGGAAGAGACUCCCUACCUGGUGAAGAUCCCUGUCCCCGCCGAGCGCAUCACCCUCGGCGAUUUCAAGAGCGUCCUGCAGCGGCCCGCGGGCGCCAAGUACUUUUUCAAGUCUAUGGAUCAGGAUUUCGGGGUGGUGAAGGAAGAAAUUUCAGAUGACAACGCCCGCCUCCCCUGCUUCAACGGAAGGGUGGUAUCCUGGGUAAGAGGUUCUGACACCGAGGGCCGGGUCCCCUCAGCAUUGCCAAGCUCCCCCAAGCCUCAGUCUGUUUCUGUAGCCUCCCCAGGCCAGGCGUUAGCAGCCCUGGCUCUUUACCUCCUGUCUGUUUGGAGAGCCGGCGAGAGGCCCUCAGCCUUCUCCUUCUGGAGUCUCUAAUACUUGCUAGGUUUUUUUGCUCUUCUCCAGCUCUCUGAGACCCUUUCUCAUUCUUUCACUUACUGCCACCUGUCACACCCUGACUCCCAAGUGAGCCACUGUUUAUCAUUUGCACCCUUCUAGCUGGUGUCCUCAGAUAAUCCCCAACCCGAGAUGGCCCCUCCAGUCCAUGAGCCUCGGGCAGAACUGGCGCCUCCAGCCCCACCUUUACCUCCUUUGCCACCCGAGAGGACCAGCGGCAUUGGGGACUCAAGGCCUCCAUCCUUCCACCCUAAUGUGUCCAGCAGCCAUGAGAAUCUGGA
Molecule: small RNA, 995 nt
Filed under: Pan troglodytes (chimpanzee)
Lineage: Eukaryota; Metazoa; Chordata; Mammalia; Primates; Hominidae
Description: retained intron
Source: RNAcentral